Molecule: ribosomal RNA, 796 nt
Filed under: uncultured Bacteroidota bacterium
Lineage: Bacteria; Pseudomonadati; Bacteroidota
Description: bacterial SSU rRNA
Rfam family: Bacterial small subunit ribosomal RNA
Source: RNAcentral
GAGACUGGCGCACGGGUGCGUAACGCGUAUGCAAUCUACCUUUUACAGGGGAAUAGCCCAGAGAAAUUUGGAUUAAUGCCCCAUAGUAUGUAUGAAUCGCAUGGUUUAUAUAUUAAAGUUCCAACGGUAAAAGAUGAGCAUGCGUCCCAUUAGUUAGUUGGUAAGGUAACGGCUUACCAAGACGAUGAUGGGUAGGAGUCCUGAGAGGGAGAUCCCCCACACUGGUACUGAGACACGGACCAGACUCCUACGGGAGGCAGCAGUGAGGAAUAUUGGACAAUGGGCGCAAGCCUGAUCCAGCCAUGCCGCGUGCAGGAAGAAGCAUCUAUGGUGUGUAAACUGCUUUUGUACAGGAAGAAACACUCCCUCGUGAGGGAGCUUGACGGUACUGUAAGAAUAAGGAUCGGCUAACUCCGUGCCAGCAGCCGCGGUAAUACGGAGGAUCCAAGCGUUAUCCGGAAUCAUUGGGUUUAAAGGGUCCGUAGGCGGUUUGAUAAGUCAGUGGUGAAAGCCCAUCGCUCAACGAUGGAACGGCCAUUGAUACUGUCAGACUUGAAUUACUAGGAAGUAACUAGAAUAUGUAGUGUAGCGGUGAAAUGCUUAGAUAUUACAUGGAAUACCAAUUGCGAAGGCAGGUUACUACUAGUGGAUUGACGCUGAUGGACGAAAGCGUGGGGAGCGAACAGGAUUAGAUACCCUGGUAGUCCACGCCGUAAACGAUGGAUACUAGCUGUUGGGAGUAAUCUCAGUGGCUAAGCGAAAGUGAUAAGUAUCCCACCUGGGGAGUACGUUCGCA